Molecule: non-coding RNA, 21 nt
Filed under: Caenorhabditis elegans
Lineage: Eukaryota; Metazoa; Nematoda; Chromadorea; Rhabditida; Rhabditidae
Source: RNAcentral
UACAAUAACGUGUUUUUAUCU